Populus euphratica (Euphrates poplar) is the source of this 401-nucleotide long non-coding RNA. RefSeq lists it as uncharacterized. The record is from RefSeq and is a predicted model, not a curated record. The transcript has 2 exons. NCBI's taxonomy places the organism in Eukaryota, Viridiplantae, Streptophyta, Magnoliopsida, Malpighiales, Salicaceae.
UGCUUUUAAAUUUUGUUAUCACAUAUAUGCUAUAUAAUUUCUUGUCUGUUUUUCUUUUUCCUUCUUUUAUGGUAUCAUUUCUUGUUAGUAUAUUUUUUCUGAAUUAUAUGAUCUUAUAGCCAUUUGACAGCAAAUCAGCAUCAUUUUUUUCUUCGAUUUUAGUUUGUUUGGUUAAUGAUUGUUCUGUUAGUAAUAGCAGUUCGUGAGGUUUGCAAUAAGUAAUCGGAUCGUCUUUGUGAGAAUUAGGAAUUUGUUUCUUCCAUGCUUCGGCCUGAAAUUUGGCAUUAUCUGGAGUUUUCUUUUUUAAGCUUCUACCUUUGUUUUAAGCUCCCUCAGAGCUUCUCCAGUUGUACUUCUGGUUGUAGAUUCGCUGUUCAAAAUAGAUGCCUUUCUUGAUCAGA